RNAcentral lists this ribosomal RNA (469 nucleotides) under uncultured bacterium. Its description in RNAcentral is "partial 16S ribosomal RNA". It matches the Rfam family "Bacterial small subunit ribosomal RNA", at positions 27 to 507 of the family's 1533-position model. The record is from RNAcentral.
GGACGAACGCUGGCGGCGUGCUUAACACAUGCAAGUCGAACGGAAAGGCCCUGCUUUUGUGGGGUGCUCGAGUGGCGAACGGGUGAGUAACACGUGAGUAACCUGCCCUUGACUUUGGGAUAACUUCAGGAAACUGGGGCUAAUACCGGAUAGGAGCUCCUUCUGCAUGGUGGGGGUUGGAAAGUUUCGGCGGUUGGGGAUGGACUCGCGGCUUAUCAGCUUGUUGGUGGGGUAGUGGCUUACCAAGGCUUUGACGGGUAGCCGGCCUGAGAGGGUGACCGGCCACAUUGGGACUGAGAUACGGCCCAGACUCCUACGGGAGGCAGCAGUGGGGAAUAUUGCACAAUGGGCGGAAGCCUGAUGCAGCAACGCCGCGUGCGGGAUGACGGCCUUCGGGUUGUAAACCGCUUUCGCCUGUGACGAAGCGUGAGUGACGGUAAUGGGUAAAGAAGCACCGGCUAACUACGUG